CCUAACAAGCCAUUGAGUUAAAGGACAAUUCAGAAUGGACAACAAAUACAGGCCUUGCCAGUGACCCCUGCUUUCUGAAGAAUACAUUUUACAAAGAUGCAGAGGGAAGUGGGGUUAUAGAAAGGUGAAUUGUGGUGGACACAAACAUGAAAGAUAACUGGUUGGUCUUGUAAAUGUUGGGAAUAGAAUGACCAUAUGAGUUAUUAAGAUCAAGGGUGUGGGCAUGAAUAUGGUUAAGGGAUUUUAUAUAGAGGGAGAAGGGGCAGAAAGUAACAUUAUCAUUUGGUAAUACAGACCUUGAAUAUUGUUGAAAAAAGAUGUGUUUUGUGAAACUAUUCGUCUUCCACUUAUCUGGACAAUUCACGAGAAUAUUAAUGAAAGAGAAAGCCAACAUUUAGGUCUGAGAAGAAUACACUGUUCAGUUGCCAAAUUAGCUCUGAUUACUAGAGGCAUUGCCAUAGAGAAUACACUAGUUAAUGAUGAACUACUGGCCAAUAACUGCCAGGCUUUGUAUAAAUUUUAACCUGGGCAGGUUAACUUUGAUUGGUAAAGGCAUUGCCCUGAGAAAUGAACCAGCGAAUAGUUGUGCCUGUUGUUCAUUCCGAAAGUUCUUGGGUGAUGAGUGCAAAAUUUAAGCUUCGACAAAAUGUGCCUUUUCUCAGCAGUAUGAAAGUGAGAUCAUUGAAGAGCAUGCAAGGUGAAUUGAGAUGGAUAUCGAAGUCGAGGAUAAGGAGUUGCUAAAGUGCAAAGGCUGAGGGUGGAAAUGAAUAAGGAUAUCUUGUAGAGAAGUAUGAGCAUCGAGUGCCAAAAGAAUACCAUGACAGAAAUCCACGAAUAAACCUGACAUUUCGAACAAUUUACCCUGAAACACAAAGGAGUUGAAGAUGAAAUGAAUACAGAGGAUAACAAUGUGCACAUAAAUGAAGAACAAAAGACCUCCACCAGGCUUUGUUAGUUUUUGUUUGAAAGUUGAACAUUUGAAUUGUACAAUUGAAAUAAAAGAAAAUCUUUAAUAGGCCAGUGUUUCAAUUGAAGACAUAGCCAAAAGAAAACUAAACAAAUGUGUUUAGACUGUAUCUGAUAAUAAUACCAUGAAAUAAUUUUAAUGCUUGGACUUUAAUUUAAAGUUGAAUAUCUAGAUAAUUUCACUUUUAUAAAUUUAGGAAAAAACUUGUUCUGGAUCUGCUGUAAUUUAUCUAGACAGGAAGCUGAUCUAUAGAAAAUAGGUACAACAGAGUUGUGUGUGAUGUUGGAAAACAUUUGUCGCAUCAUGUUGUUUAUUGAUCCACAAAAUUUGCUUGUCUGGUAAUAUACAUUGGAGUGUUAGAUUGGCAUACCUAUUGUUUCAAGGCUGAGGAAUUUGUUCUAAAUAAGAAUCAAAGGUACAUGAGGCAUGAUGUUGAGCGUUCGAUAAUGAGUUGAAAAAUAUGAAUCAAAAUUAAUUAUGUUUGUUUCAUACAAUACAAGCAAUAGUUGGCAGUGAGUUAACUUGCCAAGAAUACAUCUGCUCAACUUCAAAAUGCAGACUAAAUUUUUAAAAAAACAAAUUGAGAAUUCAGCUGUAGACUUUAGUGGUAAAUAUUAUUACAUUGGAUAAGCUUUAUAAGGAAUUUGCUACUUAAAACAAGUUGUAGAAGUUCAUACAUAGACCAAUGUCAAACGUGGUUAAGAACUGCAUACUAUAGAUUCAUUGCUUCAUUUGAAAGGACUCAAACUUUAUUGACUUAAUUUAGACUUCUAAAAGUGGUAGAUUUGGCAGCCAAAAACUGGUGGCAAAUGCCAAGUUUUGAACGCUUCAUCUCAUUUUCUAACAUACUUUCAAAGUUUAAAAAAAAUGCAACAGACCAUAAGAAAACAUAUUAAGGAAUGCAAUGCAGUCACUUAUUGAAGGUUUAACUCGGGUGUUCUUUUUUAUUUAAGGGCUUAUUUAUUGUAUCCUGCAGCAAUCACUCUUUAAAUUGUAUUGCUAAGCUACACAGCAACUUUUCUUGUUGGAGAUGACUUUUGUACAUAACUAAAAUAGCUUAUCAUCUUCAAACAAAAUAUUAUCGCCUGUUGACUCAGUGAGCACCUGAACCAUGCAAUCCAAAAAAGAUUUGGCUCCUGAUCUGUGUUGAGUUAGCUAAUCUUAGCCAGGAUACAAUAGAGAAAUUGCAAAUGACCUCUGAGCUUCUGGAUUAGAAAGAGAAGUAUUUGCUGGGACUCUAAAUUACUGUGUAGCCCCCGCAAUGGAAAUUACCUCCUGUGGGCUACGAGAGGACAGAGACUAGUUUGACAAUGGUGUCCCUGCUGUUGAAGUACCUGUUUCCAGCCAGUGUUGAGAGUUGCACAUGCAUAGUUGUGACUUGAGCCAGAAUGGGAGCAGAGAUAUUGUUGAAAAAAAACACUGGCUACAGAUUAAAAUUAGUGGAAUUUGUGAUAUAAAGAUGUGCAAUUGAUGCACACUAAAUAAACAGAAGGUCUGUAUUAAACCAAACUGCAGUCUGUUUGUUGCAAUUAUUUUCAGUAGACAUUUACCGGUCUGUACUCCAGAAAAAUGCUGUCCGAUGCUAAUCGGCUUUUUUUUUAAGAAACAACAGUGAUGUUUGGUUUUUUGUGCUUGUUGCCAAAGAACAGGGCUGUCCUAUUUGAUUUCAGUAGAUUUUCUGUGUUCGGAAGCUGUGAAAUAUGUUUGCUAAUAAAAUGGGUGUAAACUUUCAA
This is a long non-coding RNA of Rhincodon typus (whale shark), 2700 nucleotides long. RefSeq lists it as uncharacterized. Lineage: Eukaryota; Metazoa; Chordata; Chondrichthyes; Orectolobiformes; Rhincodontidae. The transcript is spliced from 2 exons. The record is from RefSeq and is a predicted model, not a curated record.